CAGAUAGGAGGCUAGCUUUCCGAGUCUUGCCUGUGAGACAAGGGAAUAUUUUACAAUCACAUUUUAAAAGCAAAUCAAUCAAACGGAUGCAUAAAGUUGUGCUAACAUAAUUGAAAUCUCCAACACCCACAUCCUAUUGUUCAAUUACACUAAAAACAUAAAAUCACCAUUUAUGACAUCGGGUGAUAGAGGGUUAUUAUGGUUCCAUUUUUAUUUUUAGAAAGAAUUCUUAGUCUUAUUAAAGGAAUCAUGAAGACUGAAAUUAAUUGGGUUACAUGGGAAAGAAAUACGCUGUGUCAAGCAGUAAAAUAAAUCUUGGCUUAAGUCUGUGCCCCACUGCAAUCGACGUGGAAAGAGGCUGAUCAUCAUACCGCAUAUUGAUGAGAUUUGUUGGGUUCUCACUGCUUUCGUAGCAUCCUGAGUCUCGGGGUGAGCAUCCACUCAGGCCCUGGCUGUCAACGAGCAGCUUCUCCUGGGAUCCUGACUGGUCGCUGUUACCUAGAGGAGAGAACACGGCAUGAAAUCAACAAGGUGAGUGAAAAGCAGAGGUUUCAGAGUCAACAGAUCUCGACUUUAUCCUCAGUUACUGCCCUGAGCUUUUGGAAGAGAACAAUUUAUCUUAAAAUAGAUGAGAUCAAAAUGAACUAGUGUGAUCACAACUUUUCUUCCAAUAAGGUAUUCAUCGCACGAAGAUAAGUUUGGAGAGAGCACACAGUUGGAAUAUGUUGACACCUUUUAAGUUAGUUAUGCGAACAGAAGCUGACUCUGGCCUUGGGGCUAUGAGGAAAGGAGAAAGGUAGAGUGUUGUUUUGGCAGUGGGGCUCCCAGACCCUUCUGAGUGAUGGCACCAUCAAGGAGAAGCAAAGAAAGAAUAAACGCCCCAUUCACAAGGUGAGAUUAGGUCAUAUGUUUUUCGGAGAUCUGUAAGACUUGUGCUUGAAGACAGUUAUGUUGCCAACUUUCCAAAUUUGGGAGCUAAUAUUAAAGUGUCAAAUGAAAUAAAUUUUAUUAGCAUUUAGGAGCAUUCUUAGCCCUCAGCAACACGUGCUGAGGGCUCUUGUAUUAGCUCAGCAAGAGUAAGGCUGGCAAGACGAGGCACAAACCCCAAAACUCAGGACAGGCCAGUGGCAAAUCUUCUUUUGUUUUUGUUGUUUGGGAUGAGUUAGAGGUUGUUUUUUCUUUUCUGCUUCUCCUUUUGUCUUGUGCCAGCACAUUUUUGUCUCCUGCAUAUAAGUAAAAGCUGGGGAAAGCUUAGGAAACCCUCGAACUUGGAAGCUGAGUAACAGAUACAUGCUUGCUGGUAUAGAUAAAUGGAUGACUGAAAACUGAAUGUCCUCAUUCUGAGUGGAUAAAGAAAAUGCAGUACCUAUACACCAUGGAGUACUACUUGGCCAUGAAAAGGAAAGAAAUAAUGUCUUUGCAGCAAUUUGGAUGGACCUGGAGGCCAUUAUUCUAAGUGAAGUAACACAGGAGUAGAAAACCAAAAUCCACACGGUCUCACUUGUAAGUAGGAGCUAAGCUAUAAGCACAUAAAGGCAUACAAAGUGAUAUAAUGGACUUCAGAGAGUCAGAAGAGGAAGGGUGGGGGGAGUCUAGGGAUAAAAAAACUACACAUUAGGUACAAUGUAUACUACUCAGAUGAUGGGUGCACUAAAAUCUCAGAAUUCACCACUAUAUAAUUCAUCCAUGUAACCCAAAACCACUUAUACCCCCAAAGCUACUGAAAUAAAUAAAAAAUAAAAUAAAGAAAAAAAAAGGAAGACCUCAUUCUGAGGAAGGCUUUUAAAGAGAAGCAUCAUUAUUUGUCAACUGUGCCUCAACAAAGCUGGAGGGGAAAAAAAAAAAAAAGCAGCAUCGGACGCUUCUGUUGAGUGAAUCUGCCCCAAGUAAAUCACGUGGAAAGCCACGAGGGCCUUCAACACCCUAGCAGCAUCACCCGGCAUGUUGUAGAAAGGGCACAUGGAGCCUUACAUGGGACACUGAGGUUACACGCAGAACAUCUUUGCAUUAUUAUGCAGAGUAAGUAAGUGCUUGGUCACAUAAAACAGAAACCAAGAAAACAUUUUCUACACAAAAUAGCUAGUUGCAAUGAUGAAUGGCUUUAUUUUCCUUUCUUUUCAUCCCCCACCAACUUCCCCACUCCAACCACAUACACAAAGAAAAAAAGAAAUCAAUAAGCCAGAAAUGUGAUGCCUUUUCUCAGGUCAUCAAAAUAAAAAUGCGGGGAGGCAGAAGGCUCUGGCAGCUCUCCGGCUGUCCACCACUUCCUGCUUGCAUUUCUCACGGGGAAAGCAUUUUACAGCCCCAACUACAGCAGAGAUCGUGGCAGCGUAAGUCCCUCAAUUAGAAUCCCAAAUUAAGAGUGCUACUUUUAAAGUGACUAAUGAAAAAUUAACUAAUUGGAAGCACAAGAGCAAAUACUGUCCCCCUGACCACCUAAAAGUGGAACAUUCUAGAGCGGUGUCCUCACUGUGUGGAAGAGCCUGUGGCUUUGCAGUGGCCUUUGUUCUGGCCUAGCAUGUUAUUUAGAAAAAUGAUACUUAUAAAAUGAGGGCUUUGUGCUAUCCAUUACAACCCAGGGAGAGGAGUCGGUGUACUCUGUCCCUGGUGACAUGGUUCAGUGCACCACAGUGGCCAAAACAGACUCCAGAGUGCUGGGUGGGAGUAACACAGAAGACCUGCUCCUACUGCAGCAUGGAAGUAUGUGCUGUGCCUGCAUCUUUGGGGACCCCAGCCUCAGCAGACACAGCAGAAUACCUGAAAUUAUUUUGGAGAAGGAGGGGAUCCAUUGUGUCACCUGAAAACCACAGUUGGCGUAAGGAAGGGGGCUAGAAUCGCUGUCUUCAUUAGGGAGAAGAGAAAAAGAGGUGAGGUGCCUCUCCUCUGUAGUGCAGAAUCAAGACCAUGACCUUUUCCCACACUUGUCAGCGUGGGUGCCAAGGUACAAAAGGUAAGAAGGAAGAUAAGCUAGAACGCUGAAAAUUCUCACAGUCAAAUCACAGCAAAGUGCUAGGUUGUGAGGCUGUAACCCCAUUUGAGCAUGACCUGAACUUUGACCUGAAGGGACUCUGCUUGGGCUAAGCUCUCUCUGCCUCCAGCCUCACCAACCACACACACACACACACACACACACACACACACACACACACACACACACACACACAGAAUAUGCUAAGACACCUAUGAAUAUUCCAACAUCAAAAGGUAGUGGUACCCAAAGGCACAUAGCAUUGCCUGGGGAGCAGUUACCUUGGGAAAGAAGAGAAGGGAAUGGGAUUCUUUGAAAGCAGGACUUUCUGUGGGCUUACACCAUAUUUCUUAAAAUGUAAAAGAAAUAAGAAAAUAUGGCAAAACAUUAACUUCAGCAUGUGCAUGCAUAUGUUUGUUUGUUUUCUUUUCCUCUGUACUUUUCUGCAUGUUUGAAAUAAUUCCUAAUUAGAAUUCUUAUACAAGUUAUUGUUUAUACUUAGAAAUGGCUAAGACAGUAAACUUUAGAUUAUCUGUAUUUUACCACAAGUAAAAAUUCUUUUAGCAAUUUGUAAGAGGCUUUCAUUUGCCAGACCUAAGAUAGUGGGUCUGGGCUUGGCGUAAGGAAUAGCCAUCUGACAAUUAGAGUCUUUUCCCAAUGGAACCCUAUAUGAUGGCUGGCAUUUUCCCACGCUUCGAGGGAGGCUGGACGGGUCUGACUUCCAAGUAGUGCUGGAAAUGUACUUUUUGCUCUCAGUUAUGGCUAAGCUAGAAACCUUUCAAGAUCCCUACAUAUCUUCAAAGAUCUCAAUAGACCUCUGCAUCUCCCUAGUGUAUGGAAAUCUUGUUUGACAGAAACCUAUCAUGUUAUCAGUUAGAGGCACUACUUCUUAGCCACGAUGACUUUAACUGUAUUGGAUGUAAAAAUCCUAUAAUGCUAGGAAAAGUCUGGACCCUGACUCUUGGCACUAAUGGGUACUCUGGAACCUUGAAGCCUUUGUUUUAGAACCAAUAAAAGGAAGUACAACUUUAUCUAUCAGGGACGUUCUAAACACCAGAGCAGAAUAGAUCCACAAUGGAAUGUCUGAAGAGGCAAAGAGGUCUUCUUCACCUUCCAGGUUAGCAACCUGAUGGAUAGCGAUACCCUCCUACAAAAUGCUCCUUGGUACAAAAAUCUCAGGAUGUGAUCCCAGGAGGAAUGAUGGGUCUCAGCCAAAGUGGCAUGGAGCAGUCUAAGCACAGAUUCCUGCCUUACACUCAGGAGUUAGCUUUUCUCCUCCAAAGCUGUGGAUGAUAAAGGAAAUGUCAUGGAGAGUAUAUAUAAACCAGCUGUUGGUUGGAUGCAGUGGCUCACACCUGUAAUCCCAGCACUUUGGGAGGCCGAGGUGGGCGGAUCACCUGAGGUCAGGAGUUUGAGGCCAGCUUGGCCAUCAUGGUGAAACCCCGUCUCUACUAAAAA
Molecule: long non-coding RNA, 4426 nt
Filed under: Homo sapiens (human)
Lineage: Eukaryota; Metazoa; Chordata; Mammalia; Primates; Hominidae
Description: HSALNT0114990
Source: RNAcentral